RNAcentral lists this ribosomal RNA (457 nucleotides) under uncultured bacterium. RNAcentral describes it as "bacterial SSU rRNA". It matches the Rfam family "Bacterial small subunit ribosomal RNA", at positions 28 to 474 of the family's 1533-position model. The record is from RNAcentral.
GAUGAACGCUAGCUACAGGCUUAACACAUGCAAGUCGAGGGGCAGCGGGAUUGAAGCUUGCUUCAAUUGCCGGCGACCGGCGCACGGGUGAGUAACGCGUAUCCAACCUUCCGUACACUCAGGGAUAGCCUUUCGAAAGAAAGAUUAAUACCUGAUGGUAUGAUGAGAUUGCAUGAUAGCAUCAUUAAAGAUUUAUCGGUGUACGAUGGGGAUGCGUUCCAUUAGGUAGUAGGCGGGGUAACGGCCCACCUAGCCAACGAUGGAUAGGGGUUCUGAGAGGAAGGUCCCCCACAUUGGAACUGAGACACGGUCCAAACUCCUACGGGAGGCAGCAGUGAGGAAUAUUGGUCAAUGGACGAGAGUCUGAACCAGCCAAGUAGCGUGAAGGAUGAAGGUCCUACGGAUUGUAAACUUCUUUAAGUAAGGGAAUAAACCCUCCACGUGUGGGAGCUUGUAU